This 403-nucleotide transfer-messenger RNA is filed under the name Rikenellaceae bacterium. It matches the Rfam family "transfer-messenger RNA". Rfam says of the family: Bacterial tmRNA, also known as 10Sa RNA or SsrA, is named for its dual tRNA and mRNA-like properties. Its role is to liberate the mRNA from a stalled ribosome. Lineage: Bacteria; Pseudomonadati; Bacteroidota; Bacteroidia; Bacteroidales; Rikenellaceae. The record is from RNAcentral.
GGGGCUGACCGGUUUUGACAGCGGGCAGGGUCUUGAUGUAAGCAUGCAGAGCAUUGUGUGGGCGCUCUUUAAUAUGAACACUCGAAAAUUAAUUGGCAAUAAUAGCUACAGACUCGCUGCGUAGUUUUACCGAGUAAAACACCUUAAUCGGGCGGCUCAAGGUCAGUCGUCCGACGAGUACUCCGCCGGAAGCUCCGCCUUACGGUUUUCGGCUCACGGAGUAUCAUCCCAGUGGGGCUGGUCACGGCGACGUCUCUAAACCGUGACAAGAGAACAGAGACUACGAGUUCGGGCGGUUAGUCCUUGACCUAUCCCGUUCUCCGACAAUCAAAUAAGGACUAAGCAUGUAGAAAGCGUCCGGGUCCCCGUUUGGACGAGAGUUCGAUUCUCUCCAGCUCCACCU